UUUAUUCGACGCAGCGCGAAGACCUUACCUGGCCUUGACAUCCAGAGAACUUUCCAGAGAUGGAUUGGUGCCUUCGGGAACUCUGAGACAGGUGCUGCAUGGCCGUCGUCAGCUCGUGUCGUGAGAUGUUGGGUUAAGUCCCGUAACGAGCGCAACCCCUAUCCCUGGUUGCUAGCAGGUAAUGCUGAGAACUCCAGGGAGACUGCCGGUGACAAACCGGAGGAAGGUGGGGAUGACGUCAGGUCAUCAUGGCCCUUACGGCCAGGGCUACACACGUGCUACAAUGGCGCGUACAGAGGGCUGCCAACUCGCGAGAGUGAGCCAAUCCCUU
RNAcentral lists this ribosomal RNA (331 nucleotides) under Marinobacter sp. NIOB 174. RNAcentral describes it as "bacterial SSU rRNA". It matches the Rfam family "Bacterial small subunit ribosomal RNA", at positions 946 to 1277 of the family's 1533-position model. Lineage: Bacteria; Pseudomonadati; Pseudomonadota; Gammaproteobacteria; Pseudomonadales; Marinobacteraceae. The record is from RNAcentral.